GACGAACGCUGGCGGUGUGCUUCACACAUGCAAGUCGAACGGGGUAGCAAUACCUAGUGGCGGACGGGUNAGUAACACGUGGGAAUCUGCCUUCAGAUGGGGGAUAACGGUCCGAAAGGACCGCUAAUACCGCAUAUGUGUAUAUCCCGACAGGGGUAUACAUGAAAGAGCAAUCCGUCUGUAGAUGAGCCCGCGUCCGAUUAGCUAGUUGGUAGGUAAAGCCUACCAAGGCUUCGAUCGGUAGCUGGUCUGAGAGGAUGAUCAGCCAACAAUGGGACUGAGACACGGCCCAUACUCCUACGGGAGGCAGCAGUGGGGAAUUUUGUGC
RNAcentral lists this ribosomal RNA (328 nucleotides) under uncultured bacterium. Its description in RNAcentral is "bacterial SSU rRNA". It matches the Rfam family "Bacterial small subunit ribosomal RNA", at positions 28 to 369 of the family's 1533-position model. The record is from RNAcentral.